CCUACGGGAGGCAGCAGUGAGGAAUAUUGGUCAAUGGACGAGAGUCUGAACCAGCCAAGUAGCGUGAAGGAUGACUGCCCUAUGGGUUGUAAACUUCUUUUAUAUGGGAAUAAAACGUUCCACGUGUGGGAUUUUGUAUGUACCAUAUGAAUAAGGAUCGGCUAACUCCGUGCCAGCAGCCGCGGUAAUACGGAGGAUCCGAGCGUUAUCCGGAUUUAUUGGGUUUAAAGGGGGCGUAGGUGGAUAGUUAAGGCAGUUGGGAAAGUUUGCGGGUCAACCGUAAAAUAGCAGUUGAAACUGGCAGCCUUGAGUACAGUAGAGGUGGGCGGAAUUCGUGGUGUAGCGGUGAAAUGCUUAGAUAUCACGAAGAACUCCGAUUGCGAAGGCAGUUCACUGGACUGCAACUGACACUGAGGCUCGAAAGUGUGGGUAUCAAACAGGAUUAGAUACCCUAGUAGUC
Molecule: ribosomal RNA, 460 nt
Filed under: uncultured bacterium
Lineage: Bacteria
Description: partial 16S ribosomal RNA
Rfam family: Bacterial small subunit ribosomal RNA
Source: RNAcentral